This 511-nucleotide ribosomal RNA is filed under the name Tenodera sinensis (Chinese praying mantis). Its description in RNAcentral is "partial large subunit ribosomal RNA". It matches the Rfam family "Bacterial large subunit ribosomal RNA", at positions 1888 to 2597 of the family's 2925-position model. Lineage: Eukaryota; Metazoa; Arthropoda; Insecta; Mantodea; Mantidae. The record is from RNAcentral.
GGUUUCUUGUAAUUAUUUAGGAGAUCUGACCUGCCCACUGAAAAUAUUUUGAAGGGCCGCAGUAUUUUGACUGUGCAAAGGUAGCAUAAUCAUUAGUCUUUUAAUUGAAGGCUGGUAUGAAUGGUCGGAUGAGGUAAAUUCUGUUUUAUGUUAAUUGAUGUUGAAUUUAGAUUUUAAGUAAAAAUACUUAAAUGUUAUUAAGGGACGAGAAGACCCUAUAGAGUUUAAUAAAUAUAAUAACUAAUUGAGUUAAAGUUUAAUUUUUGGUUUUUAUGUAAUUUAUUUAAUUGGGGUGAUUGGAAGAUAAAAUAAACUCUUCUUUAUAUUUAAUAAAUUAAUUAGUUAUAUGAUCCAUAUUUAAUGAUUAAAAGAUUAAAUUACCUUAGGGAUAACAGCAUAAUUCUUUUUAAGAGUUCAUAUCGAAAAAAGAGAUUGUGACCUCGAUGUUGGAUUAAGAUUAGUUAUGGGUGCAGAUGUUCAAUAACUAGGUCUGUUCGACCUUGAAAAUCUU